Vicia faba (fava bean) is the source of this 264-nucleotide non-coding RNA. Lineage: Eukaryota; Viridiplantae; Streptophyta; Magnoliopsida; Fabales; Fabaceae. The record is from the annotation of a GenBank genome assembly.
AUGUCAACUGCCUUAUGCUUUCUUGAUGCAGGGAUUUAUGGUUUCAUUUUGGGCAAGUUUUUGGAUAGCAAAGAUAGUAAAAAGGCUGUUUGCAGACUGGUUUUUUUAUGUAGGUUUUGGAGUGAAGUAGCAGCAAGCUUGGGGCCUUUCGGACAACAAAUUUGGACUGUUUUAUUUGGUUACUUAUGCAGGGAUAGGGACUGGUUUGGCAAGUUCAAAAAAUAUGGUUUUGGGACCACAACUUUAUUGGACAUAAAACAAUAA